CUGGUUUGACUUUCAUUGUAAAGCGGGAUGAAAGUCUUUUCAAGAGUUUUCAAAUGCAUGUUGUAUACAUCUAAAAAAAUUGUGUUGUAUAGAAAGGAUGGCAUAUUACCUCAGUUCGCUUUGGGCGCAUUGAACACAGGUACCUUAAGCGUACAUGGCCAGAACAAAAUUAAUUACACCCUCCGAUACAUAUUAAUUGUCGCCGAUUUAAUACUUCACUUAAGAUGAGUUUGCACAACAAUAUCAUGCUAAGAACAAGAUCCAGCAAAUGAAAAAAGAAGAAGAAAAAC
This 290-nucleotide long non-coding RNA is filed under the name Hordeum vulgare. Its description in RNAcentral is "long non-coding RNA (HVUL_LNC008791)". The record is from RNAcentral. Lineage: Eukaryota; Viridiplantae; Streptophyta; Magnoliopsida; Poales; Poaceae.